GGAGACGUGUCCGAGUGGCUUAAGGAGCACGCUUGGAAAGCGUGUAUGCGGCAACGUAUCCUGGGUUCAAAUCCCAGCGUCUCCGCCA
RNAcentral lists this transfer RNA (88 nucleotides) under Candidatus Cloacimonadota bacterium. RNAcentral describes it as "tRNA-Ser". It matches the Rfam family "tRNA". From Rfam's summary of the family: Transfer RNA (tRNA) molecules are approximately 80 nucleotides in length. Their secondary structure includes four short double-helical elements and three loops (D, anti-codon, and T loops). Lineage: Bacteria; Pseudomonadati; Candidatus Cloacimonadota. The record is from RNAcentral.